Molecule: ribosomal RNA, 466 nt
Filed under: uncultured bacterium
Lineage: Bacteria
Description: partial 16S ribosomal RNA
Rfam family: Bacterial small subunit ribosomal RNA
Source: RNAcentral
GAUGAACGCUGGCGGCGUGCUUAACACAUGCAAGUCGAACGGAAAGGCCACAGCUUGCUGUGGUACUCGAGUGGCGAACGGGUGAGUAACACGUGGGUGAUCUGCCCUGUACUUCGGGAUAAGCUUGGGAAACUGGGUCUAAUACCGGAUAGGAAUCACAUGUGGGUGUGUGGUUGGAAAGCUUUUGCGGUAUGGGAUGAGCUCGCGGCCUAUCAGCUUGUUGGUGGGGUAAUGGCCUACCAAGGCGUCGACGGGUAGCCGGCCUGAGAGGGUAUACGGCCACAUUGGGACUGAGAUACGGCCCAGACUCCUACGGGAGGCAGCAGUGGGGAAUAUUGCACAAUGGGCGCAAGCCUGAUGCAGCGACGCCGCGUGGGGGAUGACGGCCUUCGGGUUGUAAACUCCUUUCGUCAGGGACGAAGCGAAAGUGACGGUACCUGGAUAAGAAGCACCGGCUAACUACGUG